UCAAGUACCUGGCAGGGGAGACACCAUGAAUCAAGCAGGUGGUUUGCCCAGGGCGAGACUUGGCCAUUGCACUGCGGCAGCGUUGACCCCUGCGAAUUCCCCAAAUGUGGGAAUCUCGACUGCACAAUUUCUGGUAGUGGGGGACUGCGUACGCGCUCUCCCCUG
Molecule: small nuclear RNA, 165 nt
Gene: U1
Rfam family: U1 spliceosomal RNA
About the family: U1 is a small nuclear RNA (snRNA) component of the spliceosome (involved in pre-mRNA splicing).
Source: Ensembl